AGUGAACGCUGGCGGUAGGCCUAACACAUGCAAGUCGAACGGCAGCACAGUAAGAGCUUGCUCUUACGGGUGGCGAGUGGCGGACGGGUGAGGAAUACAUCGGAAUCUACUUUUUCGUGGGGGAUAACGUAGGGAAACUUACGCUAAUACCGCAUACGACCUACGGGUGAAAGCAGGGGAUCUUCGGACCUUGCGCGAUUGAAUGAGCCGAUGUUGGAUUGGCUAGUUGGCGGGGUAAAGGCCCACCAAGGCGACGAUCCGUAGCUGGUCUGAGAGGAUGAUCAGCCACACUGGAACUGAGACACGGUCCAGACUCCUACGGGAGGCAGCAGUGGGGAAUAUUGGACAAUGGGCGCAAGCCUGAUCCAGCCAUACCGCGUGGGUGAAGAAGGCCUUCGGGUUGUAAAGCCCUUUUGUUGGGAAAGAAAAGCAGCAGGUUAAUACCCCGCUGUUCUGACGGUACCCAAAGAAUAAGCACCGGCUAACUUCGUG
Molecule: ribosomal RNA, 492 nt
Filed under: uncultured bacterium
Lineage: Bacteria
Description: partial 16S ribosomal RNA
Rfam family: Bacterial small subunit ribosomal RNA
Source: RNAcentral